UUUUCUACGAAUCAGAAUGACCUAAAAUUUGGAGCGUGUGUUCAUAAAAAACAGGCAAAUCUAAAAAAACUAUAAAAAAAAUAAUUUACAUGAAAAAAUUGACCAAAAUACCCCCAAAACGUUUUGGGGGUAUUUUGGUCAAUUUCUUUGGUGAAUUAUUUUUUGUAUAUUUUUAUUAGGUGCACCUCACUAAGAUGUACACACGCUCGAAAUUUUAGGUCAUUGUGAUUUGUAGAAAA
This 239-nucleotide microRNA precursor is filed under the name Amborella trichopoda. RNAcentral describes it as "MIR8562 microRNA precursor family". It matches the Rfam family "MIR8562 microRNA precursor family". Lineage: Eukaryota; Viridiplantae; Streptophyta; Magnoliopsida; Amborellales; Amborellaceae. The record is from Rfam by way of RNAcentral.